This 253-nucleotide ribosomal RNA is filed under the name uncultured bacterium. RNAcentral's name for it is "partial 16S ribosomal RNA". It matches the Rfam family "Bacterial small subunit ribosomal RNA", at positions 524 to 776 of the family's 1533-position model. The record is from RNAcentral.
UACGAAGGGGGCUAGCGUUGCUCGGAAUCACUGGGCGUAAAGCGCACGUAGGCGGCUUUUUAAGUCAGGGGUGAAAUCCUGGAGCUCAACUCCAGAACUGCCUUUGAUACUGAGAAGCUCGAGUCCGGGAGAGGUGAGUGGAACUGCGAGUGUAGAGGUGAAAUUCGUAGAUAUUCGCAAGAACACCAGUGGCGAAGGCGGCUCACUGGCCCGGUACUGACGCUGAGGAGCGAAAGCGUGGGGAGCGAACAGG